AGAUUGAACGCUGGCGGCAGGCCUAACACAUGCAAGUCGAGCGGUAGAGAGGUGCUUGCACCUCUUGAGAGCGGCGGACGGGUGAGUAAUGCCUAGGAAUCUGCCUAGUGGUGGGGGAUAACGUUCGGAAACGGACGCUAAUACCGCAUACGUCCUACGGGAGAAAGCGGGGACCUUCGGGCCUCGCGCCAUUAGAUGAGCCUAGGUCGGAUUAGCUAGUUGGUGAGGUAAUGGCUACACCAAGGCGACGAUACCGUAACUGGUCUGAGAGGAUGAUCAGUCACACGUGAACUGACGACACGGUCAGACCUCCGUACGGAGGCAGCAGGUGGGAAUAGUGGACAAGUGGGACGAAAGCUAGACUACC
This 367-nucleotide ribosomal RNA is filed under the name uncultured soil bacterium. RNAcentral describes it as "bacterial SSU rRNA". It matches the Rfam family "Bacterial small subunit ribosomal RNA", at positions 26 to 393 of the family's 1533-position model. The record is from RNAcentral.